This is a long non-coding RNA of Oryzias latipes (Japanese medaka), 1095 nucleotides long. RefSeq lists it as uncharacterized. NCBI's taxonomy places the organism in Eukaryota, Metazoa, Chordata, Actinopteri, Beloniformes, Adrianichthyidae. The record is from RefSeq and is a predicted model, not a curated record.
GAAUCACGUGGAUCACGAUGUAAGCAAACCCCGGCGGAGUGGCUUCAUUCAGUGGAGUAAAAUCCAGGGAAUUUUGUCAUGUUUCAGCCAGGGACAUGAAAUCUAGCUCAAGAUUAAUGAGGAUAUCUUGGACAAUAUCUCCCUUGGUUGUGAGGGAGCGAAUGUUCAGGAGACCGAAGUUGACAGAUAUGCGGGGGAGAUUGUUAGCCAUCAUGUUGUUAGCCGAGCGAAGAGGAGCUAGGACACUGUGUGUUAGCAUGGCGACUGGUGUGUCUUGACGGACGGUGAGCAGAUGACCAGAGUGACUUGAUGGAGUUGGUGUUGUCGUAAUGGAAGUUCCGACGUGAUCCUCGAUUAGUUUAUAUCUCCGGCGGGGCACGUAUAAUGUCUAGAAUCGGAUAUCAUGUUGGAGGAGCUAACACGCGGCGGUGGCCCGGGCGGAGAGUACCGCGGGUUAGCAAGUUCAUCAGCAGAGUCGUAGUGCUGUCAAAAUUUGCUGGACAAGUGACAGGAUAAUCCAGAAACAACAUGCCGGACUGUCAGAAGCUCAGGAAGAAGCUGAAGAAGAAGAGAGGGCAGAGAGCGUAUGCCUGCCAGUGCAGCUGGUUCUCUGCUUCAGAGCCUGCUGACCUCAGGGAUCAGCCUCAGCUCCGAUGGGUCUGUGGCAAACACCCGGACUGACUGCUCACCUCAAUCUACUUUCUAAACUCUCCAUCCAUCCAUUUAUCCAUCCAUCCUUCAGACGUCGUUGUGAAAGGAAGAACUUAUCCUUGGCCUCUAUUGUCAGCAAGACUUAAAACAUUGUUUUCCAUCUAUCUGUCGAGGAGGAUUCUUGAAGCAUUUCCAGACUGUACAAAAAAUCUGAAUCUGUGCAUCUCACACCCAUUCAUUGAUGGCUGAUUUCAAAAUAUCUCUUCCUGCGUCUUCCUCUUUUUGGAAGAGGUAUUUGGACACAAAUAUCUGAAACUUCAAACUUUCUGAAUAUUUUGGACUGCUGCCCAACUGUGACACAUUGUGAUUUUCUACUCCUGCUCUUUAAACAAAUCUGUCUCCUGCCUGUACUGGAAUAAAAUAUAUUUGAUGAGGAACAUGAAA